AAAAGAAAAAAACCAAACAAAUAUUUGCAAACUAAUCGAUGUAAUCCACAGUGUUGUCAGAUUACACACACACACACACACACAAACACACUGAACAUCUCAAUAAAUAUAGAAAAGGAUUUUUUAAAAAAUCCAAUAACCAGUGCUGCUUGAAACCCUGCAGCAAACUAGGAAUAGAAAGGAACUCUCUCAAUCUGAUACAGGAUAUCUACUCAAAACCUAAACCUACCAUCAUAGCGAAUGGUCAAAAUGCAGCCGUCCCCCUUAAGUUCAAGAACAAAACGGAGAUGUCCACUCUCACCAUUACUAUUCGGCAUUGUACUAGAGAUGUGAGCCAGUGCAAUAAGGAAAGAAUAAAUAAAAUAAAUAAAAGGAACUCUAGUUCAAAAGGAGGAAGUAAAACUUUCUUUAUGAUGGAGUUCCCUUCAUGGCUCAGUGGAAACAAAUCUGACUAGAAACCAUGACGUUGUGGGUUUGGUCCCGGGCUUCCCUUAGUGGGUUAAGGAUCCGGCAUUGCCAUGAACUGUGGUGUAAGUCAUAGACUCGCCUCCUAUCCUGAGUUGCUGUGGCUGUGGUGUAGGCCGGCAGCUGUAGCUCCGAUUUGACCCCUAGCCUGAGAACUUCCAUAUGCCUCAUGUGGGGCCCUAAAAGGACAAAAGACCAAAAAAAAAAAAAAAAAAAACCAAAAAACAAAAAACUUUCUUUCUGAAUUGACUUCAUAGACAGAUGAUCAAAAUCCCUGGAAUUUACAAAAUAGCUAGUAGAACUACUAGCUGAGUUUAGCAGAGUUCAUUAUCUCAAAAUCUCUCUCUAUGACUUAGCAAUGAAUAGUAAAAAUUUAAAUAUAAACAUGCCAUUUACAGCAGCAUCAAAAAUAUGACAUAUUCGGGGGUAAAUGGGAGAGAAAAAUGUGUCACACCUGUACACCAGAAACUGAAAAACAUCUUGAGACAAAUGAAAGAACUAAAUAAAUGGAGAGAGAAGCCUUAUGCAUCAGUUGGAACACUCAGUAUUGUUAGGACAUCAGUUCGUCUGAGUUGAUCUAUAGAUUCAACACAGUCCCAAUCGAAAUCCUAAAAGACUUCUUUCUAGAAACUAUCCAGCUGAUUCUCAACUCACAGUGAACUUCAAAACACCCAGAAUAGCCAAACCACUCUGAAAAAAAAAAAAAAAAA
Molecule: long non-coding RNA, 1175 nt
Filed under: Sus scrofa (pig)
Lineage: Eukaryota; Metazoa; Chordata; Mammalia; Artiodactyla; Suidae
Description: lncRNA (ENSSSCG00065008394.1)
Source: RNAcentral